GGACGAACGCUGGCGGCGUGCUUAACACAUGCAAGUCGAGCGGUAAGGCCCUUUCGGGGGUACGACGAGCGGCGAACGGGUGAGUAACACGUGGGUGACCUGCCCUCAGCUCUGGGAUAAGCCUGGGAAACUGGGUCUAAUACCGGAUAUGACUCCAUGACGCAUGUUGUGGGGUGGAAAGCCUUGUGCGGCUGAGGAUGGGCCCGCGGCCUAUCAGCUUGUUGGUGGGGUGAGGCCUACCAAGGCGACGACGGGUAGCCGGCCUGAGAGGGCGACCGGCCACACUGGGACUGAGACACGGCCCAGACUCCUACGGGAGGCAGCAGUGGGGAAUCUUGCGCAAAUGGGCGAAAGCCUGACGCAGCGACGCCGCGUGAGGGAUGACGGCCU
This 390-nucleotide ribosomal RNA is filed under the name uncultured bacterium. RNAcentral describes it as "bacterial SSU rRNA". It matches the Rfam family "Bacterial small subunit ribosomal RNA", at positions 27 to 417 of the family's 1533-position model. The record is from RNAcentral.